UCUUGGUCAUUUAGAGGAAGUAAAAGUCGUAACAAGGUCUCCGUUGGUGAACCAGCGGAGGGAUCAUUACCGAGUUUACAACUCCCAAACCCAAUGUGAACCAUACCAAACUGUUGCCUCGGCGGGGUCACGCCCCGGGUGCGUCGCAGCCCCGGAACCAGGCGCCCGCCGGAGGGACCAACCAAACUCUUUCUGUAGUCCCCUCGCGGACGUUAUUUCUUACAGCUCUGAGCAAAAAUUCAAAAUGAAUCAAAACUUUCAACAACGNAUCUCUUGGUUCUGGCAUCGAUGAAGAACGCAGCGAAAUGCGAUAAGUAAUGUGAAUUGCAGAAUUCAGUGAAUCAUCGAAUCUUUGAACGCACAUUGCGCCCGCCAGUAUUCUGGCGGGCAUGCCUGUCCGAGCGUCAUUUCAACCCUCNAACCCCUCCGGGGGUCCGGCGUUGGGGAUCGGGAACCCCUAAGACGGGAUCCCGGCCCCGAAAUACAGUGGCGGUCUCGCCGCAGCCUCUCCUGCGCAGUAGUUUGCACAACUCGCACCGGGAGCGCGGCGCGUCCACNUCCGUAAAACACCCAACUUCUGAAAUGUUGACCUCGGAUCAGGUAGGAAUACCCGCUGAACUUNNGCAUAUCAAUAAGCGGAGGAA
RNAcentral lists this ribosomal RNA (644 nucleotides) under Trichoderma sp. 2 TMS-2011. Its description in RNAcentral is "eukaryotic LSU rRNA". The stretch from base 254 to 407 matches the Rfam family "5.8S ribosomal RNA". The record is from RNAcentral. Lineage: Eukaryota; Fungi; Ascomycota; Sordariomycetes; Hypocreales; Hypocreaceae.